UAAGGAAUAUUGGUCAAUGGAGGCAACUCUGAACCAGCCAUGCCGCGUGCAGGAAGACGGCCCUCUGGGUUGUAAACUGCUUUUAUUCGGGAAUAAACCUGCUUACGUGUAAGUAGCUGAAUGUACCGAAGGAAUAAGGAUCGGCUAACUCCGUGCCAGCAGCCGCGGUAAUACGGAGGAUCCAAGCGUUAUCCGGAUUUAUUGGGUUUAAAGGGUGCGUAGGCGGCCUGUUAAGUCAGGGGUGAAAGACGGUGGCUCAACCAUCGCAGUGCCCUUGAUACUGAUGGGCUUGAAUGCCCUGGAGGUAGGUGGAACGGGUUGUGUAGCGGUGAAAUGCAUAGAUAUGACCCAGAACCCCAAUUGCGAAGGCAGCCUACUACGGGGUGAUUGACACUGAGGCACGAAAGCAUGGGGAGCAAACA
RNAcentral lists this ribosomal RNA (422 nucleotides) under uncultured bacterium. RNAcentral's name for it is "bacterial SSU rRNA". It matches the Rfam family "Bacterial small subunit ribosomal RNA", at positions 355 to 774 of the family's 1533-position model. The record is from RNAcentral.